UACGUAGGGUGCGAGCGUUGUCCGGAAUUACUGGGCGUAAAGAGCUCGUAGGUGGUUUGUCGCGUUGUUCGUGAAAACUCACAACUCAAUUGUGGGCGUGCGGGCGAUACGGGCAGACUGGAGUACUGCAGGGGAGACUGGAAUUCCUGGUGUAGCGGUGGAAUGCGCAGAUAUCAGGAGGAACACCGGUUGCGAAGGCGGGUCUCUGGGCAGUAACUGACGCUGAGGAGCGAAAGCGUGGGGAGCAAACAGG
Molecule: ribosomal RNA, 253 nt
Filed under: uncultured bacterium
Lineage: Bacteria
Description: partial 16S ribosomal RNA
Rfam family: Bacterial small subunit ribosomal RNA
Source: RNAcentral